GUUGCUUUUGCUAUUCCCUUUUGAGAACAAACCUUCACCGUUUGUUUGAUCUCUUUUAUGUGAAUUAAGCUCUAAUUCUCUGGUUUUUAUUGCUGAAAUAACAUUGUAUGUGGUGAUUUUUUGUCUUCCAUAUUUGAGAGUCAUCUUUACUUUUUUGUAUGCUUCUGGAAGUGAGUUGAGUAGAAUAAACGAUUUAUUUUCGUCACUAAUCUUGUCCCCAAUUCUUUGAAAUCUGAAGACAGCUUCUUGAAUUCUUAAAGAUUUUCUGUCAAAGAUUUGUUGUCAUCCAUCUUGAAGGUAAAGAACAUCUCCCUUACGUAUGCACAGUUAGGUAGAUCUUUGGACUUAUAGAUUUCAUCCAAUUUUAUCCAUAUUCCAUAAGUUGUUUCUCAAUGACUUCCCUAAGAACAUUAUCACUUAAGUUUAAAACUAUGGCACCAUAGGCUACAUUCUCCAUAGUUUCUUUGUCUUCUCGAGUCACUGUUUUAGGUAGCUUUUCUGGAUCUGUGAGGGCUUUCAAUGCCUUUUGCUGAUCGACUAUGACUUUGAUCUUAGCUUUCCAUAAGGUAAAAUCUCCUUAACCAUCAAAAGUCUCAAUAUCAUACCUUGCUACUGCAUCUUUGAGUUUCUUGAAAUCAAGAAUGUAACUUUUGAACCUUUCUUGAAUCUUUCUGUCGGCCCUGUUAUCAAUUUGAAGGGGUAGCCAUGUGUAUGAACACAUAAAAAACACUUCUUUGCAUGUAACAAAGAUGGUGAGAUGAGAGAAGAUGAAGAGAGGAAGAAGGAGAAGAUGAACUCACAAGAUUUUAAAGUGGUUCAGAAAAUACCUACGUCCACUGUGCUUGAGCAAGAUGUUACUUCAGUUAUAUGAUUGUAAUUUCAAAAUGGUACAAGGUAUGUAUAGUCUUCAUUAUGACUCUAGUUAAAACUCUAGUUAAAUCACAAGUUAAAAGAAGAUGCUCUAACUAAUUUGUAA
Molecule: long non-coding RNA, 976 nt
Organism: Cucumis sativus (cucumber)
Lineage: Eukaryota; Viridiplantae; Streptophyta; Magnoliopsida; Cucurbitales; Cucurbitaceae
Exons: 2
Source: RefSeq, a predicted model, not a curated record